UGGGGAAUAUUGCACAAUGGGGGAAACCCUGAUGCAGCGACGCCGCGUGAGCGAAGAAGGCCUUCGGGUCGUAAAGCUCUUUUAUAUGGGAAGAUAAUGACGGUACCAUAAGAAAAAGCCCCGGCUAACUACGUGCCAGCAGCCGCGGUAAUACGUAGGGGGCUAGCGUUGUCCGGAAUCACUGGGCGUAAAGGGUUCGCAGGCGACAAUGCAAGUCAGAUGUAAAAGGCAAAGGCUCAACCUUUGUAAGCAUCUGAAACUGUAUAGCUUGAGAAGUGUAGAGGCAAGUGGAAUUUUUAGUGUAGCGGUGAAAUGCGUAGAUAUUAAAAAGAAUACCGGUGGCGAAGGCGACUUGCUGGGCACAAUCUGACGCUGAGGAACGAAAGCGUGGGGAGCAAACAGG
RNAcentral lists this ribosomal RNA (403 nucleotides) under Verrucomicrobiota bacterium. Its description in RNAcentral is "Verrucomicrobia bacterium partial 16S ribosomal RNA". It matches the Rfam family "Bacterial small subunit ribosomal RNA", at positions 355 to 776 of the family's 1533-position model. Lineage: Bacteria; Pseudomonadati; Verrucomicrobiota. The record is from RNAcentral.